AUUGAACGCUGGCGGCAGGCCUAACACAUGCAAGUCGAGCGGAAGAAGGGUGCUUGCUCCUGGAUUCAGCGGCGGACGGGUGUGUAAUGCCUAGGAAUCUGCCUGGCAGUGGGGGAUAACGUCCGGAAACGGGCGCUAAUACCGCAUACGUCCUGAGGGAGAAGGUGGGGGAUCUUCGGACCUCUUGCUAUCAGAUGAGCCUAGGUCGGAUUAGCUAGUUGGUGGGGUAAGGGCCUACCUAGGCGGCGAUCCGUAACUGGUCUGAGAGGAUGAUCAGUCACACUGGAACUGAGACACGGUCCAGACUCCUACGAGACGCAGCAGUGGGGAAUAUUGGGCAGUGGGCGAGAGCCUGAUACAGCCAUGCCGCGUGUGUGAAGAAGGUCUUCGGAUUGUAAAGCACUUUAAGUUGGGGGGAAGGGCAGUAAGUUAAUACCUUGCUGUUUUGACGGUACCGACAGAAUAAGCACCGGCUAACUUCGUG
RNAcentral lists this ribosomal RNA (484 nucleotides) under uncultured bacterium. RNAcentral's name for it is "partial 16S ribosomal RNA". It matches the Rfam family "Bacterial small subunit ribosomal RNA", at positions 30 to 507 of the family's 1533-position model. The record is from RNAcentral.